This 22-nucleotide microRNA is filed under the name Sarcophilus harrisii (Tasmanian devil). Its description in RNAcentral is "Sha-Mir-7398-P9d-v1_3p* (star (passenger))". RNAcentral also lists the same sequence under 1 other name. The record is from RNAcentral. Lineage: Eukaryota; Metazoa; Chordata; Mammalia; Dasyuromorphia; Dasyuridae.
AUAUUUCUUGCCUCUACCAAUU